UGAUUAUUGGUCAUGUUAUAAAUUGAUUUAACAAAUCGAUCACCCCUAUUGUCAGUUAUCGGUAAAAUGCGUGUGAUUGCACUCUUGACUCCCUGCUUUGCUGUGUCAGCGCUGACCCUAACCACAGAUGGCAAGCCCAUGUGGGCUCCACCAAUGCUAACAGAGGUGAAGUGGUUCAGACCAUCCGAUCCAUAAUCAACCAUCCCAACUACAAUGCAGUAACCACAGAUAACGACAUUGCCAUCAUUCGCGUUUCCUCUCAAUUCUCCUUCAACAACAACGUCGCGCUACUUCUAUCGCCGAGUCCAACUACAAUAUUGAUGACAACCGGAUUGUCUGGGCUACUGGAUGGGAAAGACUUUAUUUUAAUUGACCAGCGUCUGUGCAACUUCGUCUCGUUCGGUUCAGUGUCUCACAGGACACUUAACCAGAACACUUCUAACCAGCACUACCAGACUGUUGGCAGAUUCAUCACUGCUUACAUGUCCGGAGCACGACAUGUAAGCAGUGGCAGCGGGCUUGACAUCGGCGGUCGCUUUUUACUAAUCAUAAUUUAAAGAUAACUUUAUCUAGGUUUUUUGCUUAAACUUCAGUGAAUUUGUUCGAAUAUUCUAUUCCGCGACCAUUACACAGUAGUGUGUCUUGCGCACUAUAUGCUAACUGGUUAAAAAGGUAUAUUUUCGUACUUAGUUACGUCUUACUAGCUCAACAGCGUAAUGUUCUUUUUAUUAUGUCAUCAUUCCCCUGCCCUUUUUCAAUUAUUUUUAUUUGGGGUCGGCGCAACAUAUCUUCAUUCUUCCAUACUUUUCUACCGAAAGUCAUCUCACAAGAAACACUCUUUGCAGCGAUAUCGUCUUUUACACAAUCCAUCCAUAGUUUCUUUGGUCGUCCUCUCCCCCUAUAUCCAUCCACAUCCCUGCUCAACGCCUUCUUUGUUAUGUAGGUGAUUGAAUUAAAAUCUUCCGGUUUAAACGAUUAAUUGAUAAGAAAUAUCGCAUUGCACCAGGGUUUCAUGUAUUUAAAAAGUGAUUGGUCAUGUCUCCUUUCCUCAAAUUGAAUUCAACUUAUCUUAUCUGUAUAGAGCAAUACAAGGUACUUUGCAAAAAACCCGGAGAAGGACUCUUUUAAGAUUAUCUAACGAAAUAGAUGUAAUUUAGAUUUUAAAUAUAUUACGAUACCAUAUUAUCUAUUUAUCACUUGAUAACGUAAGAAAUCAUGUCUAAAAAUAAAUCAUAUACAAAAAAAUAGUUUGACAAAA
Molecule: long non-coding RNA, 1258 nt
Organism: Trichoplusia ni (cabbage looper)
Lineage: Eukaryota; Metazoa; Arthropoda; Insecta; Lepidoptera; Noctuidae
Exons: 3
Source: RefSeq, a predicted model, not a curated record